RNAcentral lists this ribosomal RNA (369 nucleotides) under Triticum aestivum (bread wheat). RNAcentral's name for it is "partial small subunit ribosomal RNA". The record is from RNAcentral. Lineage: Eukaryota; Viridiplantae; Streptophyta; Magnoliopsida; Poales; Poaceae.
AUGGACCAAGAAGGCAUAUUUUCUGUCAAAACGCAACUGCCGGAGAAAGCAACUUGUUUUGCAAAGGUGAGAUCUCUGUACUUGAAGCCAGAACAGACAGAAAAGAUAGUGCCAUACUACUUGGUUGCAAGGUGCGCAAACUGCAAAGUAGGCGUGGAGCUCAUAGUUGAGGAAACAGAGGCUGUCAACCAGUUGGAGUCAAGAUCAAGAUGCACAGGAUCAAGAUGCAUAGAGUCCAUCCUAGUACCUGGUGUGGAGACCUGCUGGAUACGGCGUUCUGCUCAAAGGAAGAUAGUGGGGCUAUAUUAUGUGCGAUGUGGUCCAGUUGGACAGUAUGGAACGGUUGUCACGACGGCGAAGUCCCAAUGA